UUCGUCAUCCUCCCACCUCCGUUAACUCGCUACGCUCCUGCGAGGAAAACCCGUGCCAAACAAAACCAUACGAUCGAUCCCUCCUGCCCAUAGCAGCGACCUCGAUCCCAUCCUUGAUUGCCGACUCCUCUCGAUCCCAUCUCUACUCCAAUACGAGCCGCCGCCGAGAUCCGAAACGAUCCGCCGCCGCCGAGGACCGAUUGGAGCCGCCGCGGGCGCUGGCCUCCUGCCCUCGUUCGGCGCCGCCGCCGCUCCAUUCCUGCUGCCUUGACCCUCUCUUCCCUCCAAGCUUGCCGCCGGCGACGAAGCGUACGGCACCGCUACGGUCGUGCUCGAUCGCCUCCAGGAACCCGGCACGCGUGGCGAGGCGAGGGACUCCUGGGCUCCUUCCAUCACCGCUUUGCCGAUGACCCCGCCGCCGGGCAGGAGUGCUUCCGCGCCUCCAGGAACCCGCCACGCACAUCAAGGUGAAGAAUCCUUUCCACCUGCAGAGGGUGCCGUGCGGGUUUCGCCGGUCUGUGGUCGGCUGCGAUGAAUUGGGCGUCCUGCUGUCUUUUCUUCUUGUGGGUGCUAUUUGUUCGUGUGGACGGAGGUACCCGUGCUGGGGUUCGUGUGGAUUUAAGAUUAGCCGGCAUGGUUGAUUGGGAUUAAGAUCGGACUAUUCCUAAACAUGCCAAAUGUUGCCUGGAUGAUUGGGAUUAAGAUUGACUAAUCCUAACCAUGCCAAUGUUGUGCUUGCAGUGCUUCUUUGGCACCGGCACAAUUCUGGUCGAGUACCUACUCUUCAGGUUAGGCCUGCUGUCUUUGGCCGAGUGUUAGUUUUAUUAACAAGGAUAUUACAAACAAAAUUUAGAAGGAUUUGGAAGUUUUACACUACAAAAUAAUGGUAGUAGCAUGUUUGGUGCUGAAAGGGUUCUGCUGCAGUGCAAGUUACUUGAGAGAAGAAAUUGUUCAACUUAAAUAAAAUAUGUUCAUUGAUCCAGUGGUAAGCUAUUCCGAAUUUAUUUCAUGAUGUGGCUGCUCAUGUCUGAUUCUUGCUCAUCUGGUGUUCAUUUACACACUUGGUAAUGAUUCUGCAGUUCUUUUCCACACUUGGCCAUGGUAAUCAGGAUUAUGCCAGGCUUGGUCAAGACUAUGCUACAAAAUGGCCUGAAGUGGUGGCUCACUACUACUGUUAUUUCCAUGUUGUUCUUUUAAACUCCACUUCUCUGUUAUAGGCACCUUUUUGUUAAACAACUCCACUUCUAUGUUGUAGGUACCUUAUAGGCAACGGAUGCAGGGUAAAGAGAGUUGCCAUACGUUUUUACGAGCAGAAUUGUGGCAUGCUUUGUUCAAGAUCUGCUGCAGUCAGUAAAUAUUUGUAUGGUCUGCAAUUCUGCAUACUACUAAAGGAGUUACAACUGAGCACUGUACUCGGAGAAAAUUACCAAGGUUCUACUUCGUCCUGGCGCCACUCCCAUCCUUGUCUGCCUCAUGGUCGCGGUCCUAGCCGUGGAUGAUGCCAUUGUGCCGUACUCCCUACUUACCCCUGCAUGACAACCGCGCUACUAUGCCGCUAUGCAAUCAGAUGCUUGUCUCCGUCCUUGUCAGUCCACAGGCAUUGCUCAUAUUUUUGUCCCUAAAAAAUAUUGGAGAGAUAUGCUAAUUUCCUGAAGUUGAAUGUUCUCUUUGAGCACCUCAGUGAUUAAAGAUUAGAUGGAUUUUCCCCUAGGUACAUUGUCAUGUAAGGAAAUUUCCUCAAAGGUGUUUCAAAUUAGUUUGCCGAAUUGCUGAUUGUACCGCUUGAAUGCAGCUAGGAAUAUAGACCAAGUGAUGAUGGCUACCUUUUGGUUCUUAUAAUUGAGUCACAAGCACUUAUAUUGCAUUGUUUUUAUUAUAGUUCACGAGGUUGACUAAUUUGUGAGGCAGUGGCAGUGCAAACAUCGUCAUCUUUUUUUGGUUGACAGUACGAAAUAGUGGCAUCUUGAUGUUGAAGCAAGAUUGUUUGCAAGACAACAUAUGACACCAUCUUCAUUGCCCUUUUUCGUCUCAGGAAUGAAGGUUUAAUGGCUGGACUAUCAUGCUGUCUACUUGGUUUCAGCUGUACAUAUCUUAAUACUUGACCUUCAGUGAGGACUCGUUUCUUAGGAGAAAUAGUAGGAGAGCAACAAUUGAUUGGUAAGUCUUGCUUGCUAUUAGUUGCAUAAUUAAUAUUGAAAUUCGUUAGUUUGCUUCAAGGUUACAAAGCCAGCAAUGAAUGAGACUAUCAUUAUUAGGAUUGAAGGAUGGUUCAAUGUUGUUGAUAGCAGUAAGAAACACUUGCAAAUGUAUGUCUCGUCUAUUUAAAUGUGUGCUCUAAAAAUAAAUGUACACAACUGUCACAAUAUUGUUUACUACAAUAUUUGAAUUAGAAGUAGUAGUUUUAUGUUUUUGUUUAGUUUUAUAGUAUCUCAGUUAUGAAAUAAAUCCAAGCCUUCCUCCAAAUAGGUUUUUUUGCCUUGAUUUUUAUAAUUCAAAUAAUUUUCGUAUUUUAUAAUAUUCAAACAAAAUGGUUUGUAGAGUCAAUGUUCUCUGACUUAGGUAGCUUUAAUUUAAUGCACUGACGAAGCGUUUUACCUGAGACGAGUGCUGGGAGAGGCUGAUUAGGAUUGCAACGAGGGGGAGACGUCGAUGCUGCCGCUGGCGACCGUUACCGCGACCAUGGCUGUGGGAGUGAGGCGCCGGCGACCAUGACAUCGACCGUGUUGGCCCAUGGUGUUUCUGACUUUCCACGCUCCGUUCCAGGUAGCUGCCAUUCCGAUUGAUCCCCUCCAGGUGAGUGAGCAGCUUACACUCAACCGAUGAAGGCAUCCAAAGGUUCGACUAGGUGGGUAGGAACUCAGCUGGGCUCACUUCCAUUUGCAUUCUUGUCUGCAACAUCGGAUACUCCGGGAGGUUCAUGCAUGUUUGUUUUCUAUAUGUUUUUUCUCAUAAUGCAGGGCACAAAGAUAGGUCUCCUUUUAGUUACCAUAGAUUUUAGUUUUUUUCUGCUUACUGUCUUCUCCACUUUCUUGUCAGAUUAAGCAACUAACAAAUGAAUCUGUGCACAUUUAUACCA
Molecule: non-coding RNA, 3076 nt
Organism: Triticum urartu
Lineage: Eukaryota; Viridiplantae; Streptophyta; Magnoliopsida; Poales; Poaceae
Source: RefSeq, a predicted model, not a curated record